AGGUAGCAUACUUGUCUAUCAUGUAUCACAUCCCAAUGCCAUAGGGGAAAAUAAGGAAGAUUUCUUGACUUGUGUCAAGAAAUAUGUAUUGUGUCUGUGUGGGUUUUUUUUUUUUCUUUUGGUAAAAAUUGUUCCUUGAAAGCUGGUCUUUUGUUUUUUAGAAUACAUGUUCUGUAAAACCUGGGCUAUUUUUUAAUAAGUGUUUUCUUGAAACUUCUCUUUGAGACCUAGUUCUAGCUGGUCUUACCUCCCUUCUGGAGACCUGCCCCACCUCUAGCUCACUUUCACCCUCAUGUCUGAGCUUCACAAGUGCUG
Molecule: long non-coding RNA, 315 nt
Filed under: Androctonus crassicauda
Lineage: Eukaryota; Metazoa; Arthropoda; Arachnida; Scorpiones; Buthidae
Source: RNAcentral